RNAcentral lists this ribosomal RNA (111 nucleotides) under Shewanella putrefaciens. The record is from RNAcentral. Lineage: Bacteria; Pseudomonadati; Pseudomonadota; Gammaproteobacteria; Alteromonadales; Shewanellaceae.
UGCUUUUGGGAGAAAAGCCUUGCCGAGACGCAGUGAAGUCGGUAAUUUCUACCCCUUGUGAUUUUAGGUUCUCAGGUAAAAAACUAAACCAUGCCUCAUAUUAGUAUGCGC